This 93-nucleotide signal recognition particle RNA is filed under the name Deltaproteobacteria bacterium RIFCSPHIGHO2_02_FULL_40_28. RNAcentral's name for it is "signal recognition particle sRNA small type". It matches the Rfam family "Bacterial small signal recognition particle RNA". Rfam says of the family: The signal recognition particle (SRP) is a universally conserved ribonucleoprotein involved in the co-translational targeting of proteins to membranes. Archaeal SRP consists of a 7S RNA and homologues of the eukaryotic SRP19 and SRP54 proteins. The record is from RNAcentral. RNAcentral also lists the same sequence under 3 other names. Lineage: Bacteria; Deltaproteobacteria.
GUUAGGUUUCCGUGCAUCCACUCUUCCUAACCCCGCCAGGUCCGAAAGGAAGCAACGGUAAGAAGGGGGGAGUGCACGGUUAUUUCUAUGUCC